Non-coding RNA from Gambusia affinis (western mosquitofish), 851 nucleotides. The record is from the annotation of a RefSeq genome assembly. Lineage: Eukaryota; Metazoa; Chordata; Actinopteri; Cyprinodontiformes; Poeciliidae.
GGAAGAGGAGGAAGAGGAGGAAGAGGAGGAAGAGGAGGAGCUGAUCUGUUCCUGAUCUCUAUAGAAACUCAAACUUCCUCCUUCAGUUCAGUUCAACUCUCCAACAUUAACUCUGAUCAACAUGGACUAUUAUGGUCUGUUUCUGCUCAUCGUCUCUCUACUAACAGGUGUGAACUGUAAAGACCUUGUUCCAGUUCAGGAGGAAGAGUUCGCUGUGGAGGGGAGAACAGUUUCUCUGUCCCACCCUAAAGACUCCUCUGGGACGUAUUUCUUCUGGUACCGACAGCUUCAGGGAAAAUCACCAGAGUUUCUCAUUUCUCACUCGCCUUCAGGAGAAGUAGGGCUGCAAAGAACCACUGGGCUGAAGAUCCAAGUGGACAAAAAUGAAAUAAAGCUGCUGAUCUCCUCUGCUGCAGUGACAGACUCUGCUGUGUACUACUGCGCUCUGCAGCCCACAGUGACAGGAAACACCAGAACCCUGUACUAAAACCUGCAGUGCUCCACAGCAGCCACUAGAGGGCCUCACUCCCUGUUAAACCAUUAAAACCUGCAGUGCUCCACAGCAGCCACCAGAGGGCCUCACUCCCUGUUAAUCCACUGGUUGUUGAGUCUCUGGACUGAAGACAGACAUGAAGCAGUAAAGAUCAGAGCUGCUGAGGAAGCAGAAAACUGUGAUAAUUCAUUUAUUACGUUUCUAUAUUUAUUUUGUUGACACAAAUAACUUUAUUGAGUUAUUUGUUCAGGUUACCAUUUCUUGAACCUGACUGAGGUUUGAUCCAGUCAGUAGAGCGAAAUCCUGUGGGGUCCUCUGGACCUGAUGAAGCACAGGAAGUUUAGCACCACCUGCUGGU